GCAUCGAGAUGGAUUACAUUCAACAUACCCUUUGGCUUUAUAUUAUAAGUGGGUGGUGGAUUUAGUGGCAAUGCCUAUGGAACUUGGACAAAUGAACUAUUUAGUACUUGCAGGAGAAGAUUUAUCAAAUAUAGUUGAAAGACGAGCAUUAACAACAUAAGAUACUAAAGGUGUAUGUCAAUUUCUAUUAGAAGAGGUUAUUUCUUACUAAGAUUGUAUUAGAAAAAUCAAUGCGGAUAGGGGUGAAUUGGAUGCAAAUAAAGCACGAGUAUUCUUUAGUAGAAUAGGAAUUAAACU
Molecule: long non-coding RNA, 297 nt
Filed under: Physcomitrium patens
Lineage: Eukaryota; Viridiplantae; Streptophyta; Bryopsida; Funariales; Funariaceae
Description: long non-coding RNA (PPAT_LNC011884)
Source: RNAcentral